CCUACGGGGGGCUGCAGUGGGGAAUAUUGGACAAUGGGCGCAAGCCUGAUCCAGCCAUGCCGCGUGAGUGAAGAAGGCCUUCGGGUUGUAAAGCUCUUUCAGACGUGAAGAUGAUGACGGUAGCGUCAGAAGAAGCCCCGGCUAACUUCGUGCCAGCAGCCGCGGUAAUACGAAGGGGGCAAGCGUUGUUCGGAAUUACUGGGCGUAAAGCGCGCGUAGGCGGCGUCGUCAGUCAGAGGUGAAAUCCCAGGGCUCAACCUUGGAAUUGCCUUUGA
RNAcentral lists this ribosomal RNA (275 nucleotides) under uncultured Insolitispirillum sp. RNAcentral's name for it is "partial 16S ribosomal RNA". It matches the Rfam family "Bacterial small subunit ribosomal RNA", at positions 338 to 630 of the family's 1533-position model. Lineage: Bacteria; Pseudomonadati; Pseudomonadota; Alphaproteobacteria; Rhodospirillales; Novispirillaceae. The record is from RNAcentral.